UACGUAGGUGACAAGCGUUGUCCGGAUUUACUGGGCGUAAAGAGCGCGCAGGCGGUCGUUCAAGUCGAGUGUGAAAGCCCCCGGCUCAACUGGGGAGGGUCAUUCGAUACUGAUCGACUCGAAGGCAGGAGAGGGAAGUGGAAUUCCCGGUGUAGUGGUGAAAUGCGUAGAUAUCGGGAGGAACACCAGUGGCGAAGGCGACUUCCUGGCCUGUUCUUGACGCUGAGGCGCGAAAGCGUGGGUAGCAAACAGG
Molecule: ribosomal RNA, 253 nt
Filed under: uncultured bacterium
Lineage: Bacteria
Description: partial 16S ribosomal RNA
Rfam family: Bacterial small subunit ribosomal RNA
Source: RNAcentral